This 254-nucleotide ribosomal RNA is filed under the name uncultured bacterium. RNAcentral describes it as "partial 16S ribosomal RNA". It matches the Rfam family "Bacterial small subunit ribosomal RNA", at positions 524 to 776 of the family's 1533-position model. The record is from RNAcentral.
UACGAAGGGGGCUAGCGUUGUCCGGAUUUAUUGGGCGUAAAGAGCUCGUAGGCGGUUUGGUGAGUCGGGUGUGAAAUCUCCACGCUCAACGUGGAGGGGCCACCCGAUACUGCCAUGACUAGAGUCCGGUAGGGGAGUGUGGAAUUCCCGGUGUAGCGGUGAAAUGCGCAGAUAUCGGGAGGAACACCGGUGGCGAAGGCGGUUCUCUGGGCCUGUACUGACGCUGAGGAGCGAAAGCGUGGGGAGCGAACAGG